This 459-nucleotide ribosomal RNA is filed under the name uncultured bacterium. Its description in RNAcentral is "partial 16S ribosomal RNA". It matches the Rfam family "Bacterial small subunit ribosomal RNA", at positions 338 to 795 of the family's 1533-position model. The record is from RNAcentral.
CCUACGGGAGGCAGCAGUGAGGAAUAUUGGUCAAUGGCCGAGAGGCUGAACCAGCCAAGUCGCGUGAGGGAAGACGGCCCUACGGGUUGUAAACCUCUUUUGUCGGGGAGCAAAGCGAACCACGUGUGGUUCCUUGAGAGUACCCGAAGAAAAAGCAUCGGCUAACUCCGUGCCAGCAGCCGCGGUAAUACGGAGGAUGCGAGCGUUAUCCGGAUUUAUUGGGUUUAAAGGGUGCGCAGGCGGAGGUGCAAGUCAGCGGUCAAAUUGCGGGGCUCAACCCCGUACUGCCGUUGAAACUGCAUUUCUUGAGUGCGCGAGAAGUAUGCGGAAUGCGUGGUGUAGCGGUGAAAUGCAUAGAUAUCACGCAGAACCCCGAUUGCGAAGGCAGCAUACCGGCGCGUAACUGACGCUGAUGCACGAAAGCGUGGGGAUCGAACAGGAUUAGAUACCCCAGUAGUC